This is a long non-coding RNA of Oncorhynchus gorbuscha (pink salmon), 2032 nucleotides long. RefSeq lists it as uncharacterized. The transcript is spliced from 5 exons. The record is from RefSeq and is a predicted model, not a curated record. NCBI's taxonomy places the organism in Eukaryota, Metazoa, Chordata, Actinopteri, Salmoniformes, Salmonidae.
UGGGGUGGAAAAAAUGUUCUUCGCAAUUCUAGCGGAUGCGCACCGGUUGACAUCAAACAUGAAAAAGAUGCGUAUAAUUUAGUUAUAAUGUAAAUAUGUGUAUUCUCCUGCAAGCAAGAGUUUACCCGUAUCGUUGAAAUAUUUGACACCAUUGCUAUAAACCGCAAGGGACAGAAUCCAUUGAAUAUUGAGGAGCAAGCAAGAAUACAAUAGGAUGGAGACAGUAUGUGGUAAAGGAGGGACAUUGGAUGGUGACGGUCAUCGUUAAACAAGAGGAAGAAGACCAUAUGGAGCAGAUGUCCAAUGGUCCACUGUCAUCUGACACACUCAUCAAACAGGAGCAAGAAGAGGGCCUAUAGAACAAGGCACUACAGCUCCAGAUGACCAACUCCCUGAGGAAACAGACACCCUGGAAGAAGCAGAGAAGGAAGGGAAAGACAGGAGAGGUGCUGGUCUGCUGUUAAGACUGUGGAUGUCUGGGUCAGACUUCAGUUGGUGCUGCAGACUGUGUCAGUGCUGCUUCAGUUCCUCCUGGCAGCUGACGGGACACUGUUGUACUGGCAUCGCGGGGGAGGACGGGGUCACCCACGGCCACAAGGCAAACUGGAGUUCCAGUGCCCAGGUUGUGGCGACCGCUUCCUCCGCGCCUUCAUCAUGCACAAGCGCAGUCACAUUGGCCAGUCCCAGUACGUCCGCCACGGGACUGUGGCUGAACGACAGCAGUGCCAUGACUGCAGCCAGACGGCACUCAGAAGCCACCGGGAGAGACAGCACGGAGAGGAGAGGAACUGGGAGGAUGAGGAGGACAGGGUGGUGAGAGAGGAAGAGCAGGGAAGCACUGCAGUAAUCUCUAUUGAUUCAACCUGAGUUUCAGCUCAGCCUCCCCAGUCUCAGUGCCACCAGUGUUUCAUGACCUUUCAGGAUGCAGAGACAGAAGAGAGGCAUUUACACUUCAAGCACCCAGUGGAGUAUGAGAGACAUCUCAGAGGUCGCACAGUGUUUGCCUGCUGUGUCUGCGACUGAACAUUCCCCUCCUCCCGCCUGCUCUCAGCUCACCAACGCACCCACAGCAAGGGGAGUCUGCCCCCUACUGGACCAGAAGACUCUGUCCAAGAAUGCACAGAUGGAGGAGAGGCCGAGGGGUCAGCCAUAGUAGUACGGCACCCCUGGAGCAAAUAGGGGUCAGCUGUCUUGCUCAAGGACACAUCGACAGAUCUUUCACCGUGUCGGCAUAUUAUUUCAGGUAUAGACAAUGAAAAAAACAGAGCUGGUCCAAUGAGCUGUGAGCACUGUCAUAUCACCUUCAAUGACCCUCGAACCUGGGAACGUCACAUGACGGCCAAGCACCCCCCAUCCCUGUCGACACCUACUUCACCAGGGAAUGCCUACCUGACUUCUAGACCUGCCAGGGGUCAACUACGACCCUAUCGCUGCUCAUCCUGUGGAGAGAGAUUCAUACAGGAAAGCACUCUGACCAAACACGGCACCAAGGCACAUGUCAGCUGAGAGAGGAUGAUUCUGGGAGCAUAGAUACCAAGAUGCAAUAUCUUUUCCAUAGCAAAAAUGAAAACAGGAAGCAGACCAGACUCUUUGGUCCUUUUAUUUUCCAAGCUAUAGCUUUAAAAAUAAAUACAUGUGAUUCUGGAUAAAAAACAUAAUGAUGUUUGUUUCCAACUUCAAGGCUGUUUCCCCAAAGAAGUUAAAUCCACUUCGUGUUUUGUUUCCUUGCCACGAUACUGGUAUCUUCCUGGCCCUAACAUCUUGAAAAGCACCGGUGUUAAAAUGGAGUAGUUUUCAAAAUAAAAGCCUGACCAUAUUUAUUAGAGAUUCACAUAAAAAAAUACAAAUUCUCCUGUACCCUGAUUUAAGAUGAAAACAGACCAAACCAGCUUUUGAUCAUUUUGAUAGCAAUAAUGUCUGUACUACGACAGGUAAACUACAUGAACAAAAGUAUGUGAACACCUGCUCAUCGAACAUCUCACUCUAAAAUCAUGGGUAUUAAUAUGGAAUUGGUCCCCCCUUUACUGCUAUA